RNAcentral lists this ribosomal RNA (404 nucleotides) under uncultured eukaryote. RNAcentral's name for it is "SSU rRNA". It matches the Rfam family "Eukaryotic small subunit ribosomal RNA", at positions 570 to 990 of the family's 1831-position model. The record is from RNAcentral.
GCACCCGCGGUAAUUCCAGCUCCAAUAGCGUAUAUUAAAGUUGUUGCAGUUAAAAAGCUCGUAGUUGAACUUCUGUACAGUCUCACUUCUGGCUUCGGUCAAGGUGUUGGCUGUGCAUCCGCUUGCAAAGCUGGUUCGGCCUUAACUGGUCGGCUAGUAGAGUAAGCCCUUUACUUUGAAAAAAUUAGAGUGUUUCAGGCAGGCAAUGGCUCGAAUACAUUAGCAUGGAAUAAUGGAAUAGGACUUUUGUCCAUUUGGUUGGUUCUUGGACUUAAGUAAUGAUUAAAAGGGACAGUUGGGGGCAUUGGUAUUUAACAGUCAGAGGUGAAAUUCUUGGAUUUGUUAAAGACUAACUUAUGCGAAAGCAUCUGCCAAGGAUGUUUUCAUUGAUCAAGAACGAAAGU